AUUUCUUAUACGUUAGCAACGAAGUUGCUGCAGCGAGAGGGGCAGCAUUCAGAUGUGAAGUCCUCACCGAAAUGCUUCAGAAGCUGCAUUCUUCUGCAGUUUAUAACAUCUUCUGAAUACUUCACCAUGGCCUUGGCGUCUUCUGUGUUAAUGGUCGCUGUCGAUGUCCUGGGAGGCGCCCGGAGGGGUUUCGACCCACGCCUACCCGCGCCCGCCAAUGCGCCCCGGCGUAUCACCCCGGGCACCGCACCCCAGCCGCCAAGUAGGCGACGACACAGCGGAUGACAAUGCUCUAGAUGAGCUCCCUGUGCCCCCGCCCCCCCGCCGAGCAGACCGCUGCCGCCGCCCCGCAGCUCGCCGCGGCCGCCGAGCAGCCCGUCAAGGCCGCCGAGGAGGAGGAGGCCCUA
Molecule: long non-coding RNA, 407 nt
Organism: Frankliniella occidentalis (western flower thrips)
Lineage: Eukaryota; Metazoa; Arthropoda; Insecta; Thysanoptera; Thripidae
Exons: 3
Source: RefSeq, a predicted model, not a curated record